AAUUAUUCAUUACACAGGUGUCCAGCAGACAGUUGACUAUACAAGGGUGUAGAAAACCCCUUCCCAUUUCAUGUUGUUAGCAAUGGCACCACAUGGAAGAGAAAUGUCUCAAGGGUUAGGGUUAGGGUCUCAAGAAAAUAAUUUGGUGAAUGCUACAAGAAGAUCAGCAAAGCUUUACUUAUCAGUCAGAAUACUGUAGCAAAAGUGGUACAAAAACUUAAAAAAGAUGGAACUGCAACCAUCUCACAGAGACGUCCAGGACGUCCACGGAAGUUAACACCUCCACAGAAGCGUCCUAUGAUGAGAAGGGUCGAAGAAAUUCAGCAUGCAAGUUCACUGCAGUUAUCCAAGGAAGUAGAAAGCCUGUAGAAACUGGGGUGACUACUGAGGUAUCACAUUCUGAUUUUUGAGUUUAUUUAGUUUAGAUUGAAUGAUGAUUAAUUGUUUUCCCUUUUGUGAGUUAAUGCAGACAGAGUGAGGCUCACAGCUUCAGGGGUCCGAGUAGUUUUUCAACUGUGUGAGUGCUAAAGGUUAGCAGGCGGCAGGCCAUCAUAAAGUAAAACCUGAGAUUGGCCCACACGCCAAAUGGUGGGAAAUGCUCAAACGUUUAUGUUCCCAUAGAGGGGCAGGAAACCCAUUUGGGUCAUUUUGGGGACAAGACAUGAAGUUGACCGCAGCCAUGUUAGAUGAGUUACAGGGGAGACAGGUCAACUCCUCGUUUAGUCUAUUGGAUCAUUUACCAAAGUGACCAAUUAGGAGAAGUGGGUGUGAACUGGGAAAGGGACUCUAAAAACCCUUGCAUAGGAAGAGAAGGAGGUUUGGCACUUGGUAGAACUCCUAAGAUCAAAGGCUGAUAGGAGUUCUAGUAGGGCAGAGGGCAAAGCACUUUGGCCUUGCUUUUGAGAACGUCAGAAUGCAAUUCUUAUUCGGACGCUGGCAUCUGUUUCAAUAAAGAUUGCUCCAUCAUUCCACCCAGCCUUGCUUCUUUUAGCCUUAAGAUUCUUUGUGAAUACAGGCCCUGGUUCUCUUACUUUGCAAAAUGCAUGGAAAUAAAAAUACUGGACACCAUAAAAAUGGUCUUGGUUCAUUGGAGUGAUAUAAAAGAUUGUGUGUGAAAUUCGAAUAAUUAAAGGCCAAAUGAGCUGUUUGGUUUUUUUCUUGAUCAGGAGAGAGCCACCUCUCCUUUUGGAUGAGUACAGCGUUGGAUUGGUACAGCAUGUUUACACAGCCAUGAAGAGAAUCUAGAGGAGGCUCUUGUUGCAGUCUUCGGAAGAGUGUGAGCAGUAUGUUACUGAGAUAGAUGUUACCAGCAAUGAGGAUUCAUCUGAAAGCCAGGAGGGAUCAGGGAGGAAUUCCUGCCAGGCACAGAGGGGUCUUUCAGCUUUGAGGAGGAAGAGGAUGAAGAGGUGGAGGGGGAGGAGGAGGAAGAAGAGGAGGAAGAGGCAAUGGAGGAUGGCACUUCUUCAUGGAGAUCCAGAAAUGGGAAACUCCUGUGGUCUCCCACACAUGAAGAGUCGCUGCCAUUCUUUCCCCCUCCUAUCUUGACCCCAGGGCCGACGUACUACACACUUGCCAGGAUCAGCAGCCCUGAGACGGCAUUUGACCUUUUUUCACUGGCGACAUCCUGCAGCUAAUUCUGCACAUCACAAUCUGCAGGGGAGGAGGUCAGUAAAUUAAUGGAUAGAUUUGAGUGAGGAGGAGGAGAUGCGGGCCUACCUUUGGGCUGCUGAUUUUGGCAGGCAUGUUCAGGUCACAGCAUGAGUCAAACAAGAGCCUGUGGGACAAUGAAACGGGACGUGCAAUUUUUGCUGCAACAAUGUCCCAGAAGAGAUUUUUGCAGAUCAAUCUGGCUGUGCGGUUCGAUGACAGACUGUCCGGCCAGACCGCAGCAAAAGAGACAAGCUGGCUCUGAUCAAGGACCUGUGGAGCAGAUGGAGCACCCGCCUCCCUGUGCUGUUUAACCCAGGGAGGGACACAUGCAUUGGUUAAAAUGCUCCACGAUAAGCCGCCAUCUUGGUCUGCGGUCCCAUAGCGCCCCCAGAGCAAUCUUUAUUGAAACAGGUCUCAAGCCUGCGUCCGAAUAGAGUGUGGCCGCACUCUGGUAGUCUCAAAUCUAUGACAAAGUAAUGCCAAAAUGCUUUGCCCUCUGCUCUAGCAGAAAUCCUAUCGAGCCUUCAAUCAAUCUACCAGUUACCACCACCCUCUCUCUGGUGUGCGGGCCUUUUUAAAGUCUAUUGUCCAUACCACCCACUUCCCCUAAUUGGUCACUUUGGUGGAUUAUACGUGCCUCGCACCCCCUAUGAAAUAACUCUUGUGUGUAUUACUUAACUUUGCUGAUAUCAGCUGAAGUGGACAGGAUGGUCUCUCUAUAAUUAGAUGACAAUGUAUACAUUGAGUCAGUUCCAAACCUCUAGUGUGGGCCCCUUCCUGUAGCUUGUCUUUAAGGACAACCCCAGGGUUGAUUGACAGCUCCUGGACAUGUGGACCAUUACAUUGUCCCAUUCCCACACUUACCUACAGGGAAUCGUCUGGUCCUGUCCCAUCCUGUCCUGUCACUAUUCACUAUUGUCUUAGAGCUCAGGAUGUGUAAGAAACACACAGACACUACAGUUGCUUACUAGCUCAAACUGUUGAAGUUGGAAAUAUAGAAAUAGAAUGGGGAGGCUCAAGGAGAAGAGAGCCACAGACCCUGAUGGCAUCAACUCCAGAGUGUUAAAGGACUGUGCAGACCAGCUCUGUGGGGUGGUCACCCACAUCUUGAACCUGAGCAUGACUCUGGAGACAGUUCCUGUUCUGUAGAAGGCUUCUGUGUGGUCCCAGUUCCAAAGUCUGCAAACCCCAUAAAGCCUGGCCACUUACGCCCUGUUGCCUUAACUUCUCACCUGAUGAAGACCAUGGAGAGGAUUAUUCUCAGGCACAUCCGUACCCAUGUGAGGACAAUGCUGGACCCCCUUCAGUUCGCUUACUGUCACAGAAUGGGGGUGGUUAUCGAAGUCAUCUACUCACUGCACAGAACAAUUACAAACCUGGAGAACACUGGACGCACUGUGGGGCUCAUGUUUUUUGACUUGUCCAGUGAUUUCAAUACAAUACAGCCAGCACUUCUCAGGGGGAAACUGGGAAUAUGUUCAACGACUUUGUUAACUUGUGUGAAUGCAACCACCUACAUAUGAACACCAGUAAAACCAAGUAAAUGAUAAUCAGCUUCCAAAGGAAGACAACCGCAGAUCAUGCUAUUGAACAUCCAGGUUUGGACAUAGAGAUGGUGUCAAAUUGGUGGUGUGAAAUUAAAACAUGUGCCAAUGUGAUGACAUUACUGACAUUUUGCACAUCUCAUUCUGAUAGGAGACUGUCAAAAUAAGGCUGCAGUGUCUUGUCUGAAUGAUCACCACCCUGUUGUUCUCACCUCCCCAGUCUGAUUAAGUGUUUUGAGUAACUCGUGUUCCAGAACACCAAAGACAUCCCUGCCACCUGGACCCUCACAGCUAUAUGCUUUCAAAACCAACAGAUCUACAUAGGAUUCUAUAUUCACUGCCCUGCAGUCAGUCUUCACACAACCAAAGAAUAAAAACAGCUACAUCAGGA
Long non-coding RNA from Acanthopagrus latus (yellowfin seabream), 3585 nucleotides. RefSeq lists it as uncharacterized. The record is from RefSeq and is a predicted model, not a curated record. Lineage: Eukaryota; Metazoa; Chordata; Actinopteri; Spariformes; Sparidae. The transcript has 3 exons.